Molecule: ribosomal RNA, 468 nt
Filed under: uncultured bacterium
Lineage: Bacteria
Description: partial 16S ribosomal RNA
Rfam family: Bacterial small subunit ribosomal RNA
Source: RNAcentral
GACGAACGCUGGCGGCGUGCUUAACACAUGCAAGUCGAACGGAAAGGCCCUGCUUUUGUGGGGUGCUCGAGUGGCGAACGGGUGAGUAACACGUGAGUAACCUGCUCUUGACUUUGGGAUAACUUCAGGAAACUGGGGCUAAUACCGGAUAGGAGCUCCUGCUGCGUGGUGGGGGUUGGAAAGUUUCGGCGGUUGGGGAUGGACUCGCGGCUUAUCAGCUUGUUGGUGGGGUAGUGGCUUACCAAGGCUUUGACGGGUAGCCGGCCUGAGAGGGUGACCGGCCACAUUGGGACUGAGAUACGGCCCAGACUCCUACGGGAGGCAGCAGUGGGGAAUAUUGCACAAUGGGCGGAAGCCUGAUGCAGCAACGCCGCGUGCGGGAUGACGGCCUUCGGGUUGUAAACCGCUUUCGCCUGUGACGAAGCGUGAGUGACGGUAAUGGGUAAAGAAGCACCGGCUAACUACGUG